AACGUAGGUCACAAGCGUUGUCCGGAAUUACUGGGUGUAAAGGGAGCGCAGGCGGGAAGACAAGUUGGAAGUGAAAUCCAUGGGCUCAACCCAUGAACUGCUUUCAAAACUGUUUUUCUUGAGUAGUGCAGAGGUAGGCGGAAUUCCCGGUGUAGCGGUGGAAUGCGUAGAUAUCGGGAGGAACACCAGUGGCGAAGGCGGCCUACUGGGCACCAACUGACGCUGAGGCUCGAAAGUGUGGGUAGCAAACAGGAUUAGAUACCCCGGUGACUGACU
RNAcentral lists this ribosomal RNA (276 nucleotides) under Faecalibacterium prausnitzii. RNAcentral describes it as "partial 16S ribosomal RNA". It matches the Rfam family "Bacterial small subunit ribosomal RNA", at positions 524 to 799 of the family's 1533-position model. The record is from RNAcentral. Lineage: Bacteria; Bacillati; Bacillota; Clostridia; Eubacteriales; Oscillospiraceae.